CACGCUAAGGUUUGAGGAGUAUUGUUCUGAAGACCAGAACACAGCUAUUGUCUGAGAGGGACCGGCUGAGCCCUGUGGGAUCUGGAUCUGAAAUGGGACUGGUAUUUAUCUCAUUGUUCUGUCGUGAGUAUGGCAGGAGAUGAUGCACCUGAGGUGACUAAUACAAUGCCUGGUGGACAGCAGACAUUCCAGGGAAACAUUAUCAUGAUAGAGCUCUGCUCACCAGUCAAGGCCCUGGGUGUGUUCAGUCACCUCUGACCUCUGACUUCUGGCCCUGACCUCUGCAUACAAGCCAUGCUUCACUCCAAGUCGGUACAUAGAAAAUUUUAAGAGCUAGUAGGGCCCUUUGAGGUUAUUUUGUUAUGUAGACUUCCAGCAUUUGUUUUAGCUGCUAAACACUUUUUUCUAAAGAAUGUUAUCUUGAAAGCUCAAUAUGUGAAACAGACCAAUGUGGAAAUGCUAUGGUUGAUAGAUAGGGUCAGGAGGGCGUACUUCUUCUGCUGGAGGGCUUUGCACCUGCUGCUCCUUCUGACUGGAAUGCAAUUCCAUCCUCCGCUGCCCCACUAGCCUAGUUAAGUAUUACUUUUCCUUUGGGUCCUAACACCCAAAUAACACCUCUUCCUGGAAGCCUCCCUGACUUUCCUGUAACUAAAUGAGUCCUUCUUGCUAUAAAUCUGUAGCCCUAGGUACCUCUAUUUGCUAGCACACAUCCAGUUGUAAAUUUACAUCUAUUAAUGUUUAUUUCUCCUACUAGACUAUGAAUAAAGUAGAGGCAUUUGUUCACCAUUA
Molecule: long non-coding RNA, 789 nt
Organism: Nyctereutes procyonoides (raccoon dog)
Lineage: Eukaryota; Metazoa; Chordata; Mammalia; Carnivora; Canidae
Exons: 3
Source: RefSeq, a predicted model, not a curated record